GACGAACGCUGGCGGCGUGCUUAACACAUGCAAGUCGAACGGAAAGGCCCUGCUUGCAGGGUACUCGAGUGGCGAACGGGUGAGUAACACGUGGGUGAUCUGCCCUGCACUUUGGGAUAAGCCUGGGAAACUGGUCUAAUACCGGAUAGGAGCCAUUUUUAGUGUGAUGGUUGGAAAGUUUUUUCGGUGUAGGAUGAGCUCGCGGCCUAUCAGCUUGUUGGUGGGGUAAUGGCCUACCAAGGCGGCGACGGGUAGCCGGCCUGAGAGGGUGGACGGCCACAUUGGGACUGAGAUACGGCCCAGACUCCUACGGGAGGCAGCAGUGGGGAAUAUUGCACAAUGGGCGCAAGCCUGAUGCAGCGACGCCGCGUGGGGGAUGACGGCCUUCGGGUUGUAAACUCCUUUCGCUAGGGACGAAGCUUUUUGUGACGGUACCUAGAUAAGAAGCACCGGCUAACUACGUG
RNAcentral lists this ribosomal RNA (464 nucleotides) under uncultured bacterium. RNAcentral's name for it is "partial 16S ribosomal RNA". It matches the Rfam family "Bacterial small subunit ribosomal RNA", at positions 28 to 507 of the family's 1533-position model. The record is from RNAcentral.